AUAGCAAACUGGCUUAUCGCCUCGAUCAAUAUCUUGAUAACUAUUGAGAUAGAACGGGGAGGAAAGUCCGGGCAGCAUAGAGUAACAUACUUCCUAACGGGAAGGCGGGAAAUUAAUUUUCUGACAGAUAGUGCCACAGAAAAUAAACCGCUCCGCAGAAGUCCUGAUUUCUAUCAGGAUCGAAGGUGGAGUAAGGGUGAAAAGGUGAUCAUGAUUUAUCAUGGAUUGGUUAUGGUAACAUUUCCAAGGGUAAGAGCUCACCAGUACGGUUGGUAACAAUUGUAGCUAGGUAAACCUUAUGUGCUGAAAGACCAAAUAAACCAAGGAUUGUUGCAAAACAAUAAGGGUUACUCGCCUAAACUUGGAGGGUAGGUUGCUUGAGGCCAGUAGUGAUGCUGAUCCUAGAUAAAUGAUAGGCGUUCUUCUUGUCCAUUGGAUAAGAUGAAUACAGAACCCGGCUUAUAGGUUUGCAAAAAAU
This 478-nucleotide RNase P RNA is filed under the name Flavobacteriales bacterium. RNAcentral's name for it is "RNase P RNA component class A". It matches the Rfam family "Bacterial RNase P class A". Rfam says of the family: Ribonuclease P (RNase P) is a ubiquitous endoribonuclease, found in archaea, bacteria and eukarya as well as chloroplasts and mitochondria. Its best characterised activity is the generation of mature 5'-ends of tRNAs by cleaving the 5'-leader elements of precursor-tRNAs. The record is from RNAcentral. Lineage: Bacteria; Pseudomonadati; Bacteroidota; Flavobacteriia; Flavobacteriales.